RNAcentral lists this long non-coding RNA (2427 nucleotides) under Gossypium barbadense (sea-island cotton). RNAcentral describes it as "long non-coding RNA (GBAR_LNC019581)". Lineage: Eukaryota; Viridiplantae; Streptophyta; Magnoliopsida; Malvales; Malvaceae. The record is from RNAcentral.
UUAGGUUGGUAUUAGGUUAUUAUAUGAUAAAAUAAACAAAAAGGAAUAAAAAUAUCAUUUUUAUUUCUUUGCUCAUCUUCUUCCACCGUUUUUCACCAAGAGAAUAGCCAUUGGAGAACUCAAAUUUUCAGCAAACUUAAACCCUUGCAUGUAAGUGAAAUUUAUGUUUGUUUUUGUUGAUUUCUAUGUUUUUGGAACCCUUGAAGCUUAAGCUAGCUAAAUAGGGGAGUAAUUUGCAAGAUGAUUGAAAGGCUAGGGUUUUGGGCCAUGAAAGCAUGAUAGUUGAUUGUGAAGUUUAAUGGAGGAAAAUGAAACUUUGUUGUGUGUUGAACAUUUCUUGUUAAGUGAUUUUUGUUGUAAAAUGCUAUUAGGGGUUAAUUUGUAAAGUAUGAAGAUUUUGAGUUAUAUGAGUGAAAUUGGGGAUUAUAUGGGCUCCUAUGAGCACCUAAAUAAUUCGGUUAGUCUUUGAUAUGGAUGAAAUUCCAUAAAUUUCGUUUUACGAGCCUAGGGACUAAUUUGUAAAUAUGUGAAAGUUUAGGGGUGAAACUGUAAUUUUUCCAAAGUAUGAAUUGUGGACUGAUUUCAAUAAUGUGACUAAUAAUUAGGCUAAAUGUGAUAUUAUAGAUCAAAGAAAAUGAGGUUCAGACCUAGAACGGGGGGAAAAACGAGAAUUGACUGUUAUGUCCCUUUUUGCCUUUUUGGUGUCGAGGUAUGUUUGUAAGUAAAUAAUAUAUCGUUUUUACUUAUAUUAUAAUAUUUUGUUAUAUUACACGAGAUAUGGUUGUAUAUUGAAUGAUUAUUUGAUGUAAAUUAUGAAUUGAGAUAACUAUGGAUGAAAUUGGCAAAGUGAGAAUAAGUGAGAAAUUUCCCUGUUGAACUUUUGAAAUAGAAAAGGAUACGAAGGACGUCAUGAGAACUCAUGUGUAGAACUAUGUGCAGGCUACUAUGAGUAUAAGAUAGUUAUGGUCACAUGUGUAAUACUAUGUGCAGGCUACUACGUGUAUCGAAUGACAUUGGUCACAUGUGCAGUACUAAGUGUAGGCUACUAUGUGUACCGGAUAGCAUUGAUCAUAAGGGUGGUGCUAUGUGCGGAACCACCGUGUAUCUGUUAUCAUUCCGAAGUGUUCAUCAGGAAAAUCGACUAAGUGAAAUUAUGUGUGACUAUGUGAUGGUAAGUGCGGGUAUAUGUAUGUGUAUACUCAUGAGCAAUGUGUUCGAUAUGUGAUCGAAAUGUGGUAAAGUUGCAAAGGAGUAAGUGAAGUGAUAAAGUAUUGUAUCAUGCAUGCAAGUUGAAUUAUGUUAUUGAAUGUUGAGCAUAUUGUUAUGAUGUUUCAUGAAAAAGUGAAAUUUGAAAUAAAACAGUUUUGGACAGCAGUAGUUGUGUGAUUUUGAAAAAUCACAAAAAAUGGUGGAAAUUGAAUUAGAGGUUGAAUAAGAUAUGAAAUAAAAUCUUAUUGAGUCUAUUUUCAUAUAAAAGAAAUGGUGUAAACAAAAGAAUUUCAUAUUAUGAGAUAUUUGAAUUUUAGUGAGACAGGGUCAAAAUGAUUUCGGAAUCCCCUGUCUUAACUUUGGAAAAUUAUAAAAAAUUUCACAAAAAUAAUUAUGGGUUAUAAUUUAUAUGUUUAAAAUUAUGAAUAAGUCUAUUUUUAAUAGAACAAACGAGAAUAUCAUCCGAAUUCUGUACGAUAAGAUAAUUAAUUUUUAGUGUAGAAAGGUCAAAACUGUCAGAUAGUGGAACAUGGACGAAUUUAAAGAAUAAACUGUACUUAUUGGAUAAACUAAAAAUUCUGAAAAUUUUAUGGUAAGAAGAUAUGUGAGUCUAGUUUCAGGGAAAAUUUACAGAACUUAAUUUGGAGUUCCGUAACUCAAGAUAUAAAUAAUUUAGUAACUAUGACUCGAGUAGAUAGCUAGAUACGAACUUGAGUAAAUAUUGGAACUAUGUGCUUUUAUGAUUGUAUUAUUUUGAGAACAUGUUGUGAAGACUGAUAAAAUCAUAUUAAUAAGUUUUUAUUAUUUAUAUAUUAACUUACUAAGUUUUAUAGCUUACUCCUUUUCCUUUCUCUCAUCUUAUAGGUUUAUAUAGCUAGCUCGGGUUGGAGAUCGCCGGAGAUGUUAUCACACUAUCAAAUUAUCAUUUGGGUAUAAGUGAAUGCAAGUAUUUUAAGUUUAUGACAUGUAUAGGGACUUUGUCUUUUGAAUUUUUGUGUCAUUGUUAAUGAGGCCAAAUGUGUUUGCCUAAUAUAGUUUAUGGUUCAAUUGAUAUACAGUUAUGAAUGAUGGCUUAUGUUGAUUAUAAGCUUAUGCAUGUGUUAAUGCCUUGUGUGAAUGUAAAGCUAAUAUUUUUUUUAAAGAUCUAAAUAGGAUGAUUAAGUAAGACAAAUGAUGAUAUGAGGAUGAUUAACUGAUUUAUGGUCAUUUGCUUGCCUA